CCUACGGGAGGCAGCAGUGGGGAAUAUUGCACAAUGGGCGCAAGCCUGAUGCAGCCAUGCCGCGUGUGUGAAGAAGGCCUUCGGGUUGUAAAGCACUUUCAGUCGUGAGGAAGGUAGUGUAGUUAAUAGCUGCAUUAUUUGACGUUAGCGACAGAAGAAGCACCGGCUAACUCCGUG
Molecule: ribosomal RNA, 177 nt
Filed under: uncultured bacterium
Lineage: Bacteria
Description: partial 16S ribosomal RNA
Rfam family: Bacterial small subunit ribosomal RNA
Source: RNAcentral